This 5422-nucleotide long non-coding RNA is filed under the name Capsicum annuum. Its description in RNAcentral is "long non-coding RNA (CANN_LNC018480)". Lineage: Eukaryota; Viridiplantae; Streptophyta; Magnoliopsida; Solanales; Solanaceae. The record is from RNAcentral.
CAGGUUUGAUUUCUUUGUCCUAAUAUCAUUAUCCUCUUCUACUCUUUUUCUUUUUCCUAAACAUAUUCUUAAAUUUGAAAUAGUUAAAAUUUUGCUUCGAAUUUGAGAAGAUUCUUAUUAUUUUGUGUUUGUGAUACCAAAAGUAGAUAUCAAUUGCAAAGAACAGAGUAACAGGAAGAGGGAUAGAAGAAGAGUAGAGAAGAGAAGAAGUUAGGAGAAGAGAAAAUAGAGAAGAUGGAGAAAGAGCUAGAGGAUAACUAUUUCAUUGACAUUCAAAAAGUGUGAUUACAACUUGAGGAGCUGCUACUUAUACUAUUUUGGAAAUAAAGAAAAUAUAUAAAUGAGCUGGAAUUAAUAAAAUGUAAAACAUACCUUGUAACUAAUUUUCCCGCCAAAUAACUACUUUGAUAUAAUUGAAUUUCCAGCCAAAUUAGGAUUUAAUCAGUAAUAGUUGUAUCAAUACUCCCCUGUGGAGCUACACCCUUGUCCUCAAGGGUGAAUGAAGGAAACCUGGUCUUCAAAAUUGAUACUAAUUCCCAAGUAGCAUAUGAAGGGUCCAGGUCUGUCCAUUUGGCCAACCACUGAGCUAUGGCCUUGUUACCACAUUUGAUCAUUUUCUUAUCUAACACUACUUCAGGAGUAGGACAAAGAGGGCUGGCCAAAUUGAUCACUGGAGAAUGAAUAAUCUCAGAAGGAAAAACAUGGAAGUACGUGAGUUGGGAAAUAUGAAAUGUAGGAUGCAACAAAACUUCAGGAGGAAACAAAAGAGUAUAAGCUACUGCACCAACCUUCGCAACUAUAGGAUAAGGUCCAAAAUAACUAGAAGUGAGCUUAUGAUAGGGAAAAGAAGUUAAGGAUGAUUGUCUAUAAGUAUGGAGUUACACAAAUAUCCAAUCACCUACUGCAAGCUGUCUAUCAGUUCUAUGAGAAUACGCCUAAGCUCUCAUUCCCUGUUGAGCUCUCAUAAGAUAAAACUUAGACAUUUGCAACUUGAAUUCUCUGGAAAGAAGCACUUCUUCAACAGAAAUUGUGGAUGAAUCACUAGGUAAGUAAGAAAGAUGCAGGGAAGGUGGAAAACCAUACAAAGGUUCAAAAGGAGAUGUUUUGAUAGAAGAGUGAUAAGAAGAGUUGUACCACCAUUUAACUAGAAAAGAAACCCAAUCAUGAGAAGAAUCUAAACAAAAGCAUCUUAAAUAAGUCUUCAGGCACCUAUUUAGGAAUUCACUUUGGCCAUCAGUUUGUGGAUGGUAGGCAGUGGAAGCUUGCAAAGUGAUCCCCUGAGCAGUAAGGAACUCCUUCCAAAAGGAACUGAUAAAGAUGGGAUCCCUAUCACUAGUGAUGGAAGCCGAAAAUCCAUGAAGUUUAAAAAUGCGAUCUUAAAAAAUAGAAAUAAAGGAUUGAGCUGUAUAAGGAUGGGAAAGAGGAAUGAAGUGUCCAUAUUUGGUAUGUCGAUCAACAAUUACCCAAAUGACAGUUUUAGUCUUGGAUUUUGGAAGCCCUUCAAUGAAAUCCAUGGUAAUAUCAGUCUAAGGCAGAGAGGGAAUAGGGAGACGUUGUAUAAGACCAGGAUACAGCAAUGUCAUAGUUGUUCCUCUGACAGGUAGUGCAUUCAUGAAUGAAGUCCAAGAUAUCCUUCCUAAGGACCUUCCAGUAAAAAUAAGCUAAUACUUUCCUGGUAGUAGUAUCAAUACCAGAGUGCCCCCUGUUGGAGUAGAAUGCUAAAGUGAGAUGAUCUUGGUUCUCAGUGUUGUAUCUUUUCCCACCAAUAACUUACCUUUCCUCCUAAACUGACCAUUGAGCCAAGUGAAAGAGCUUUGAGGAGAAGAAGUGAGCGAUUGAAUGAGUGUUUGUAACUCAGGAUCAGCAGACCAGCUAGCUUCAAUCUCCUUCUAGAGAGUAGCUUGAAUAGGAGAUACCAUAAUAGACAUGAGCUCAGCUUCAUGAAUCCUAGAUAAUGCAUCAGCAACAACAUUUUCCUUGCCUUUCUUAUAUUGAACCUCAAAAUCAAAAGAAAGAAGCCUAGCAAGCCAUCUAACUUGUGAAUCAGUGUGUAUUUUUUUUAAUCAAGUAAGAACUUUAGAGCCUUCUGAUCCGUUCUUACAAUAAAGUAUUGUCCCAUCAAAUAAUAUGACCAUUUGGUCACAGCAAACACCAACACUAAAAGUUCCCUUUCAUAGACAAACAAGGCAAUAUGUUUAGGGGCCAAACCUUUACUAAUAAAGGCUAUAGGAUGUCCUGAUUGCAUCAAAACCGCACCAAUGCCGAAGCCACUAACAUCAGUUUCAACAAUAAAGGGAAUAGCAUUAUUUGGAAGAUCCAAAACAGGAGCUGUAAUGAGGGUAGACUUCAGAGUAAGAAAGGCAUAUUCAGCUUCUUCUGACCAAUGAAAAUUAUCCCUUUUUAAGAGAUCUGUGAGAGGUCUACUGAUAAGUUCAUAACUUUGGAUAAACUUCCAAUAGUAACUAGAUAAUCCAAGAAACCCUUUCAAUUGCUUCAGUGUAGUAGGUUGAGGCCAAGACUGAAUAGCUGUAAUUUUCUUAAGAUCAGUGGCCACACCACCUUUGGAAAUAAAGUGGCCUAGAUACUCAACAUUAGCAACACCAAAAUCACAUUUAAAUCUCUUAGCAAAUAAGCUAUGUUGUACCAUCACAUCAAAUACUUGUUGCAAGUGAGAUACAUGAUCCUGUAAGGACAAAUUAUUAAUUAAAAUACCGUAAAAAAGGACCAGCACAAACUUUCUCAAGAAUGGUUGGAACAAGUGGUUCAUAAGACACUGGAAGGUUGAGGGAGCAUUGGUUAAGCCGAAGGGCAUAACCAAAUAUUCAUAAUAUCCCAUGUGACUUCUAAAGGCAGUCUUGGGUACAUCUUCAGGCACUAUUCUGAUUUGGUGAUAUCCAGACCUAAGAUCAAUUUUAGAAAAGAUAGAUGCACCAGCUAGUUUAUCUAAGAGAUCAUCAAUAAUAGGAAUGGGAAAUUUAUCCUUCACAGUGGCAUUGUUCAGUUCCCUAUAAUCCACUCAUAGCCUCCAAGUACCAUCCUUCUUGCCUACAAGUACUAUUGGAGAGGAAAAUGGGCUAUUAAUGUACUGAAUUACACCUUGAUCCAACAUGUCCUUUACUAGUGUUUCCACAAUGUCCUUUUUCAUGGAAGAAUACCUAUAAGGUCUUAAGUUGAUGGGUUUAGUCCCAGGCUGUAGGGGAAUUCGAUGAUCAAAAGGUCCUCUUCUAGGAGGUAAAGCUACAUAAUUACUAAAGAUUUUGUUGUAUUGAAGAAGAAGCUGAUCAAUAACAGAGGAAACUGUAUUGGUGCUACUCAACUGCAAAUCAUGAAAAUGACCCUCGGUAACCUCAUCAGAACUGAUUAGUUGAACCUGUAACAUGAACAUCUGAACAUCUUCACUGUUCCAUUUAUUCACAGCCUUAGUAGUAAGUGUUUGCAUUCCCCCCCCCCCCCCCAAUAAGUGAUGUUUACCUUGAUAGUAAAAAAGACAUAGUUAGGGCAUUAAAAUCCAUAGUUACUGGUCCCAUUGUCUUCAUCCACAAAGCACCAAGAACCACAUCAUAUCUAUCCACUUGAAACACAAGCAAGUCAGUAGUAUAAGUAGUACCCUAGAGAAUCCACUAAAAAUUUCUCAAAACCACCUCAUAUGUAGUUUCCAUGGAGUUAUUCCCUAAAUUCACAUACCCUACCUUAGUUGGAAUAAUUUGAUAACCAAGUCAUUUAGCAUCUUCAACAUCAAUAAAAUUAUGAGUACUACCACCAUCCAACAAUACCUGUAAAGGUCGCUUACAACUAUACCCCACCACAUGAAUAGUUUAAGCACUUGCAAGCAACUCAAGGCAUAAAGAGAUAUAAGAGGAUUGUCAACAACAACUUUUGACCAUUCAGCAGUAGAGACAAUAGUUUCAGUAGCAAGUGAUGACUCUUCAAGAGGCUCCUCAUCAGGGUACUGCGAAUCCAUGACAAACAACUGCUUAGGUAGAGGGCACUUAUGACCAAACAUGUACUUUUCGUCACAAAAGUAACAUAAACCCUUGGCUUUUUUGGCCUGCAAUUCAGCUGGUGAUAUAUGGUUCUUAUAAACUUGGAAAAAGUAGGUUGAUGUUGGUUAUUUAGAGGAUUGGCAUGUGGUCCUUUAUGUGGGUGACUAGUGGGAAAGGAGGAUGGUUUGGGCAAGGCUAGGUCAGUAGGCAAAUUUUUUCAAAAAGGUUGGAGAGGAACAUGUAGUAAGGACGGUUUUGGGGAUCUGUGAGAAACAGCUAGAGAAGCUUCAGCUAAGCGAGCUAGUCUAUAGUUUUUUUGGCAAGGUUUGUGGUUCAUACAUCAUGACUAAAUUAACUAAUUCAUCCUUCAGGCCACCGAGGUAACAGGAAAUGACUUGGUCAAUAGUGAGACUGCAUUGGGCUAACAAUCUAUCAAAAGCAAAUUGGUAUUCCCUAACAGAACCAGUUUGCCUCAAUUAUGUCAAUUCGAGCAUGGGAUUCACAAAAUCAUCACCAAAUAUUUCAGAUAAAGAGGCUAUAUACUCCUCUCAAUGAGGAGGGUGAAUGGAAUCACGACACUUCAAAAAGGAUUGGUGCCACGCUAAGGCGCCGUCCUCUAAGUUCAUGGCAACCAAGCGCACCCGUUGAUUGCAGGGAGUGUCAUCAAUGGGAAAAAAUUGUUCAACCCUAUACAACCAAGUUUUCAAAUUCUCCCAUGAUGAGCAGGAAAAGAGUUGCACCUAAAAUGCCCUGACCAGAUUGAGAUCCAUUGUCCUUAGCCGAUGAUGUCGCUGGAACAUCUUUUCCCCGUUGUGACAGUUGCAAACCGUCAAUUGAACCCUUCAGAGAGUUCACCAGCUGAAUAAGCUCACUGCGACUGCGAUCCAUGCCAUUACGCAACUCCUGAUGUCGUUAGUCUAGUAAGGCGCACAAGUCACCCUACUGAGCAGCGAGAUCUUCGUAUUGCUCCUGCAAGUCCGGAGCUAUGGAAGCUGAAGUACCAUCAGUAGGUUUACCACGAUCCAUAGGAUCGAUGCUUUGCUACCAAUUGAUACCAAAAACUGAUAUCGAUUGCAAAGAACAGAGUAACAGGAAGAGGGAUAGAAGAAGAGUAGAGAAGAGAAGAAGUUAGGAGAAGAGAAAAUAGAGAAGAUAGGGAAAGAGCUAGAGGAUAACUAUUUCAUUGACAUUCAAAAAGUGUGAUUACAACUUGAGGAGCUGCUACUUAUACUAUUUUGGAAAUAAAGGAAAUACAUAAAUGAGCUGGAAUUAACAAAAUGCAAAAAAUACCUAGUAACUAAUUUUCCCGCCAAAUAACUACUUUUGAUAUAAUUGAAUUUCCAGCCAAAUUAGGAUUUAAUCAGUAAUAGUUGUAUCAGUUUGUUUCAACAUAUGUUCGAUGAUUGUAAUGCUGAUGCGAAAGAUUGGUUUCUUAAGGA